This is a long non-coding RNA of Cryptotermes secundus, 1008 nucleotides long. RefSeq lists it as uncharacterized. The record is from RefSeq and is a predicted model, not a curated record. Lineage: Eukaryota; Metazoa; Arthropoda; Insecta; Blattodea; Kalotermitidae. The transcript has 2 exons.
AUGUGUAAAGUGUAAUUACUUGAACAAAAUACAUGCAAGUAAUAAUAAUUACUCACGAAGUCUUGCAACAUAAGACCCCAGCCGUCCGUACUGAUGCCUAUGCACACAACAAUGGAAUAUGUCAUGUCAUCACUAAGCAACAACUGCACUGCAACAGAGGAAUGGUGUUUUCUAUGCAGUCCACGCCAAGAUGUUAUAAGCAAUACAAGUUAGCAGUCAGAUAACUGCUGGGGUUCAGCUGUUGUGAGCCACUCCUGUGAGAAGCUGGUAGCUCAGGCAAGGGACAGUUUGGGAAUGUUUGCUGCUGGAAGCUGCUAGUAAGCAAUAGCUAGUGAAGACUGUAACAUACUGAGAAGACCUGGUGUGUCCUAUAGUGAUUUGUGAAGUGUGUAUAAGAGUGACAGUAUGAUCCUUACUUCCAGUUAUGAAUUGUAGAGUUCAGUAAAUCUGAUUACCAAUCCAAACCCCAUCGACAGUCACUCCAUCAUGUGAUAAUAUCUUCCUUUUAUAGUAAGCAGGCUAUUCUUCACUGUUGACAAGAAAGAGCCUGUAUUCUUGGUAUUUAGAGCAUAGAGGCAUACAGCUUAAUGCUAUAAACUUUAUUUUAACAUAUAAAAUACAAAAGGGAUGGAAAAUCUCCUGUAUGAAUGGUUGUGUAUAUGAGCAUAUAACAAAUCUGAAAGGAAUAGUUAUCAAAAGGAAUGGGAUUAUGUUUCCCAUUUUAUACAAAUAUACUACCAGCAUGACACAAAGAUUACAAUUAGCAAAACCUACUAUUUACAAUAAAAGACCAACCUGUCAUUACUGAUAUGUGUGGUAAUUCAGUUUUGUGACUCCUCUUACAAUUAUAUACAUGUUUCAUGAGUAAACAUAAGAAAAACCGAGGAUUCUGCAUCUUUCUCCAAGUUUUACAAAGUAAUAGUUUCUAACAAUUUCCUUUAUAAUUAUAAACCAAACUAUAUUUAUAUCAAUCCUCAUUGUUCUAGUGCACUAAGUACAAAAUUUAAA